RNAcentral lists this ribosomal RNA (659 nucleotides) under Arthrobacter sp. TN92A. Its description in RNAcentral is "bacterial SSU rRNA". It matches the Rfam family "Bacterial small subunit ribosomal RNA", at positions 8 to 682 of the family's 1533-position model. Lineage: Bacteria; Bacillati; Actinomycetota; Actinomycetes; Micrococcales; Micrococcaceae. The record is from RNAcentral.
AGAGUUUGAUCCUGGCUCAGGAUGAACGCUGGCGGCGUGCUUAACACAUGCAAGUCGAACGAUGAUGCCCACUUGUGGGUGGAUUAGUGGCGAACGGGUGAGUAACACGUGAGUAACCUGCCCUUGACUCUGGGAUAAGCCUGGGAAACUGGGUCUAAUACCGGAUAUGACCUUCCAUCGCAUGGUGGUUGGUGGAAAGCUUUUGUGGUUUUGGAUGGACUCGCGGCCUAUCAGCUUGUUGGUGGGGUAAUGGCCUACCAAGGCGACGACGGGUAGCCGGCCUGAGAGGGUGACCGGCCACACUGGGACUGAGACACGGCCCAGACUCCUACGGGAGGCAGCAGUGGGGAAUAUUGCACAAUGGGCGCAAGCCUGAUGCAGCGACGCCGCGUGAGGGAUGACGGCCUUCGGGUUGUAAACCUCUUUCAGUAGGGAAGAAGCGAAAGUGACGGUACCUGCAGAAGAAGCGCCGGCUAACUACGUGCCAGCAGCCGCGGUAAUACGUAGGGCGCAAGCGUUAUCCGGAAUUAUUGGGCGUAAAGAGCUCGUAGGCGGUUUGUCGCGUCUGCCGUGAAAGUCCGGGGCUCAACUCCGGAUCUGCAGUGGGUACGGGCAGACUAGAGUGAUGUAGGGGAGACUGGAAUUCCUGGUGUAGCGGU